Molecule: transfer RNA, 73 nt
Filed under: Ixodes scapularis (black-legged tick)
Lineage: Eukaryota; Metazoa; Arthropoda; Arachnida; Ixodida; Ixodidae
Rfam family: tRNA
About the family: Transfer RNA (tRNA) molecules are approximately 80 nucleotides in length. Their secondary structure includes four short double-helical elements and three loops (D, anti-codon, and T loops).
Source: Rfam by way of RNAcentral
CCCUGGUUGGCUCAGUUGGUAGAGCGCUCCACUGGAAAUGGAGAGGUCCCGGGUUCAAUACCCGUGCCAGACA